CAGAGUUGCAAAACUCCCAACCCUUUGUGAACGAACCGAGCAGUUGCUUCGGCGGAAGGCCCUUUAGGGGGCAGCCCGCCGGAGACCUACAAACUCUUGUUUUUUUGGCAUCUCUGAGUAGCUUAUAAAUAAGUUA
RNAcentral lists this unclassified non-coding RNA (136 nucleotides) under uncultured Hypoxylon. RNAcentral describes it as "sequence contains ITS1". Lineage: Eukaryota; Fungi; Ascomycota; Sordariomycetes; Xylariales; Xylariaceae. The record is from RNAcentral.